Molecule: long non-coding RNA, 1236 nt
Filed under: Homo sapiens (human)
Lineage: Eukaryota; Metazoa; Chordata; Mammalia; Primates; Hominidae
Description: long non-coding RNA NONHSAT160125.1
Source: RNAcentral
CCGAGAUGUGGGAGCUGCUGGCCGCGGCGUGGGCAGUUCAGGGGCUGGGCGGCUGAGGGUGCAAAUAGCUAUGGGCAACUUGGCCUCGGCCAUAAGGAAGAUGUGCUGUUGCCCCAGCAACUGAAUGACUUCUGUAAACCCAGGAGUGUCAGGAGGAUCACAGGAGGAGGGGGCCACUCUGCAGUUGUCACAGAUGGAGGAGACCUCUUUGUUUGUGGCCUGAACAAAGAUGGGCAACUGGGGCUUGGUCACACAGAGGAUAUCCCAUAUUUUACCCCCUGCAAAUCCCUCUUUGGCUGUCCCAUCCAACAGGUGGCCUGUGGCUGGGAUUUUACGAUUAUGCUCACAGAAAAUGGUCAAGUUCUAUCAUGUGGAUCCAACUCCUUUGGCCAGUUAGGAGUUCCUCAUGGACCUCGAAGAUGUGUGGUUCCCCAGGCCAUUGAGCUCCAUAAAGAGAAGGUUGUUUGUAUUGCUGCUGGACUGAGGCAUGCAGUAGCUGCUACAGCGAGUGGCAUCGUGUUCCAGUGGGGGACUGGUUUGGCAUCAUGUGGACGACGGUUGUGCCCUGGGCAGACUCUUCCAUUGUUUUUCACAGCAAAGGAACCAAGCAGAGUGACAGGUCUAGAGAAUUCUAAAGCAAUGUGUGUUCUUGCUGGCUCAGACCACUCAGCUUCAUUAACAGAUGCAGGAGAGGUGUAUGUUUGGGGAAGCAACAAGCAUGGGCAACUGGCUAAUGAGGCUGCUUUCCUUCCUGUGCCCCAGAAAAUAGAAGCACAUUGUUUCCAGAAUGAAAAGGUCACUGCCAUCUGGAGUGGAUGGACACACCUGGUUGCUCAGACAGGUCUCUUGUGGCUCAGAGCAUAAUUUGGCAAUAAUUGGUGGAGUGUGUUACUCUUGGGGCUGGAAUGAGCAUGGCAUGUGCGGAGAUGGCACUGAAGCCAACGUCUGGGCCCCAAAGCCGGUGCAGGCUCUGCUGUCAUCGUCAGGACUCCUUGUGGGCUGUGGGGCUGGCCACUCCUUGGCCCUCUGCCAGCUGCCAGCUCACCCUGCAUUGGUCCAGGACCCCAAGGUCACCUACCUUUCCCCAGAUGCCAUCGAGGACACUGAAUCUCAGAAAGCCAUGGACAAAGAGAGAAACUGGAAGGAAAGACAAUCAGAAACUUCAACCCAAAGCCAAUCUGACUGGUCCAGAAAUGGGGGACUGUGAUAGAGAAUCUUUAAUAAAGUGGCUUUUCC